This 255-nucleotide ribosomal RNA is filed under the name Pseudomonas fluorescens. Its description in RNAcentral is "partial 16S ribosomal RNA". It matches the Rfam family "Bacterial small subunit ribosomal RNA", at positions 78 to 336 of the family's 1533-position model. The record is from RNAcentral. Lineage: Bacteria; Pseudomonadati; Pseudomonadota; Gammaproteobacteria; Pseudomonadales; Pseudomonadaceae.
GCUUGCUUCUCUUGAGAGCGGCGGACGGGUGAGUAAUGCCUAGGAAUCUGCCUGGUAGUGGGGGAUAACGUUCGGAAACGGACGCUAAUACCGCAUACGUCCUACGGGAGAAAGCAGGGGACCUUCGGGCCUUGCGCUAUCAGAUGAGCCUAGGUCGGAUUAGCUAGUUGGUGAGGUAAUGGCUCACCAAGGCGACGAUCCGUAACUGGUCUGAGAGGAUGAUCAGUCACACUGGAACUGAGACACGGUCCAGAC